UACGGAGGGUGCAAGCGUUAUCCGGAUUCACUGGGUUUAAAGGGUGCGUAGGAGGGCAGGUAAGUCAGUGGUGAAAUCCUGGGGCUUAACCCCAGAACUGCCGUUGAUACUAUCUGUCUUGAAUAUUGUGGAGGUGAGCGGAAUAUGUCAUGUAGCGGUGAAAUGCUUAGAUAUGACAUAGAACACCAAUUGCGAAGGCAGCUCGCUACACAUAUAUUGACUCUGAGGCACGAAAGCGUGGGGAUCAAACAGG
RNAcentral lists this ribosomal RNA (253 nucleotides) under uncultured bacterium. RNAcentral's name for it is "partial 16S ribosomal RNA". It matches the Rfam family "Bacterial small subunit ribosomal RNA", at positions 524 to 776 of the family's 1533-position model. The record is from RNAcentral.